AGUUUUCUUUGACUCCCUGCCUGCGAGGGCCUCUGUCCUGGCAAGGGGGCAGAGGGUCAUUAGGCUUUGCUCGCCUCUCCUCCUCCUCACUGGGAAAAGAUGUCGAGGUCCUAGAAAAACAGGGGAGAGAGGAGCAUAUUGUUUUUGGCCUACUUUUCCCCUCUUAGGCCUGUUUUAUGAACCCUUGUUUUUAUAUUCUGGCCCAAUGGCCAGGAAAAUUCUUUUUCUCCCUGAAGAAAUCAUGAAAGACAGCAGGGAGCUCGGUUCUGUUCCAAAAGCUGGUGGGGAAGUGUUAAUAAUCCUGGUGAUAUGCCACCACCCUGGGAGAACUUGGAAAGGCACUUCAUUUAGGAAGAAGUAGAAACCAUUUCCAUGCCUGGAAUGUUCUGUGAAAGAGAAAAAUGGACAGGAAUUAUGUAUGUCUCACCGGCAUCCAGCAUUGUGUGGGGCAUGUAACAGGAAGUCUGUACGUUCUACUUGCUGUGAUGACUGACCACCUGGAAGUGUACUCCUCAAACUGGGACUCUAUUUCCAAGCUGCCAUUUCUCUGUCUUGGUUAUUAGAUAUAUCAUUUGUCAAAACAUAAACUCUACAAGUGGAAAGAAGUAGUUAUCACUCUUGUGGUCCCCCCAUCUCUUUUUAAAAGUUGAAAUCAACCAUUAGGCUCAAUCAAUUUCCUGCAAAGCCCUGACCUUGUUCCCAGCCCUCGACCACGGGGUUGCUUCUGUUCUGUGUUUGCCUGGCCUUGCCCCAUCAGUGCCCUCCCUUGCCUCCCCCUCUGCUGGGUGCCUUUCCUGUACUUGGACUCAGUGGCUGACAGGUGGUUUGGGGGGACUGGAGGAGAAAAUGUGGGCAUGCUGAGUGUUACAAUAGGGCAGGCUUUGUCCAGGCGCCAUGGUGCGUCUCCACUGACCUUGGAACUGAGUGACUGGGGACAACCGAGGGGAGGCAGUUUCCUUCCCUCUCCGGGCUGCAGGUUUUUAAUGUCUUCUUUGUUGGUCUGGGCCCCUGGAGACUGAACUGAAGGGAGAGACUUUGGGCUGCUCCCUCCCUCCCGGACAAAAUGGUGCAUGCUUUUCCUGUUUAAACAGGGCGCAGUUGUGAAGUGCCCUGACUUCGCACACACUAAGGCCCGGCAACGGCUGCAAUAAAUCAAUAGGAAAAUAGAAGCUGCCAGUUAGACUAAACAAGUGCAUUUGCAAAGACGGCUAGCCCUCAUUAAUCACUCUGACAGUCCUAAAAACACAUUUCCCCUUUAAUGACUGUAUUUGGAUAAUCAGUGCUUUUUCCUCCUCAGUCAGAGUUUGAGUAACAGACAGCUGGUGUUAUUACAGCCAUUGGGGAGGGAGUGCUGGGAUUAGGGUCGACCCAGAACCGGUCCACUGGAGGUCUCCGCAAACGGAGCUGGCUGCAAAGCUGUUGUUAUGCAAUAAUGAGGGGAAGCUUUGUACUGCCAUUGAUGGCUCCCGGGCAGCCAUGUGCAAGUUCCCCCCAAACCUUGACACCCACCUGCAUUAUGUGAACACAAAAGCCUCAUGUUGGGUUUUAUGAGCGUUGGCAGAUUUCACCCGGUGGGGGAGGCAGGAGUUUCUCUGGCAGUGAGGUAAGAAGAUGGGUCGGUGUGAUUUGGCUUUGUUUCCUUUAGGUGACUUUGGCUUUCAGGAGAAAGUUUAAAACCCAGUACAUUCCUCUUUAUAAAUGAUGUAACACAUUAAUGCACAGCACAUUAUGAAAAUGGUAAUUCAAACCCAUAGUGCUCCAAAUUAAACCAUACAUUAUCGGAUGCACUCAACCAUCUAUUUUACAAAAAGACAGGAUGAAUGAAAUCAAAUCAAACAGAAAACUGGAGUGCAGUUUCCCCUACAGAAUGAUUAAUAAAGUGCAGAGCCAAAGGAUUAUUGUAAGACGAAUGCCACGGUAACCCAGACAUGCAUCAGGAAGGAGUUCAUAUAUUGAGAGACACAUCACAGGAUGCUGGGUAGGGUAAGGCAGUUAUGGCUGCCUAAGGAUGGUGAAGGGCCCCACACCUCCCACUUGGGCUGCAGAUUUUUUAGGAGGUGGGUUUGUGUGUGUGGGGGGGAUGACUGGGAAGUUAAAAGCUUAACACCAUGCAAUUCUGUUUGUGUCAAACCUAUAUCUGGGUGUGAGUCUUUCCCCUCUCUCUCCUCCUCCCUUCCUCCCAACUGCUGCCCGCGAGGCCACAAAAAUAACCAGGCAAGAGGUGUGAAAAUAUGACUGAGAGCCAGGAACGUCCAGUGUCUCAAGUUCCAGCUCUGUGGCUUCCACCCUUCCUGGUGCCUUGGGAACACAGGCCCCAUUUCUGGCGCCUGGGAGAGAUGAGGAGGAAGAGGGGGAGGAAGGCUAGGAUGAGAAGGCGGUGGAGAAAUGGAAGGUGGAGGUAAUUCUCAAAGAAGAGUUGUUGGAUGAAUUAUGCAAAUAAGCAGUUGGUGGGGAGUAUUCUCUCUAUUAAAACAACAACUUUGUUUAGAAUUUAGCUACUGAAAGUAACAAACUCCCCACCAGCUAAUUAAAACAGCCACAUUUGUUAGCAAUGCCACCCAUUUAUGGUGGGGAGAACUGACAUUUUAGGAUGAGAACUAGGGUACUCCAGACUAUGAUGCCUGCCCUUUGGUGUCACAAUGGCAGUUGGGGGCAACCUUCCAGGUCCACAAAGGCCGUUAAUACAUUUUCUGGGGGAAACUCAUUUGUCUGAAGAGUUUCUAACCUGCAUUUUCAAACCGCACUGUAAGCCAAAAAGCCAAAAGCUUCUUUUGCUACAUGGAUAGUUUGCUGUUGGAGAUACUGAGUCUCUUCCUUCUGUGGUUCCAACAAGAGGAACCCAUUGGUCCUUACGUAGGGAGGCCUGAAGACCAUCAAGUUUAAGAAAAAGAAAAGCUUCAGUCUCCCUGCAGAGGGAGCAAUCUUCAGCAGCUUUAGAAGGCAUUAAAAAAAAAAAAAAGUAAGAAAAAAAGAAAAAAGAUGGGAAAGAAAUAACCAACUGCAAACAAAAUAACACAGACAAAAAAAAAAUUACAGCAGAUCACAUUUCAUGUCUUUUAAAGUUUUGGGCCAAUUCUCAGGAAGAUCCUGACCUGGUUUAAGGGCGACUUCUCCAGCCCAUGCAGCCUCUCCCUGACUUAAGUCUCCUGCCCUCCAGGAUGCCAGCAGCCCUGGCCCCUUCCUCAGGGACACACAUAGGGUCUUAGGGUGGCCAGCACUGACAGUUUCUGCAGAAGCCUGAGGUUCUCUUGACUAGUGAAGGAAUUUUGCCCAGAAACAAAGAUAUAGGGUCAACCUCCUUAAAAACCCCAAACCCCAAGGCCCACAAAAACGUCUUAUGCUUAGGUCUGUCAAGUGCGGAUGGGAUGACUCCGGGUGAGGCUGGGACCCCCGCGCUGUGAUUCUCUAGUGGAGUUUGGGGACGGCUGGAACAGCGCGGGCAGACAGGGCAUCCCUCGCAUCCCUUCCACACGUGACCUCCAGUCUACGGACGUUUCAGAAGUACGCAGUUUGCGGAGCGCUAACUACCCAACAAGUCGCAUUCCUCAGAAAAAGCAAAGCAAAGCAAACACAAAAGCAACAACUACAGACCCCGAAGCUGCGUGACGCCGACGCGGAAGAGUGCAGCCAGGAGAGGGCGAGGAAGGCCUUUUUGAAGUACACCCAACAGGUGGCCCCGUGCAUCCUGGGCGCAGGAGGCCGAGCCCACGUGCCCAGAUCGGGUGAGCCUCGAGCGAGCAGGCGCCCAGGGUCCCGCGGCAGGAACCUGCGUGGGGCCGGCCUCCGCUUGCGCCCCUGAUUGCUGCCCCGGGAACCAGCUAUCCCCAGGGAGGACGCGGCUCUGGCCUCCUGCAGUCAUCCAUCUUCUCCGCCGGCCUCAGGGAUUCCCCGUGCAGUGGGAAGGUGCCCUGGCCCUCGUACCACUCUCUCUAUAAACGGCACCCCACCUUCGCCUUUCCGAGGAUGCAGACGCCAGUCAGUCGUGGGAGCUCAAGAAAACAGGGACCCAGAAUGGCUUCAAGGUCCGAACUAAUAGCCGCACUUUCUCAGCAAAACCCAAACAACCGCUGGCAUUGGGAAGCCUCCAAGCCUUGCGAAGCACCCAUUUCAGCAAGUGCAUUUACCCUUUGGUUUCAGGUGUAUAGAAGUCAUCGUCAAGAGGACGUCCUUGGCAUGUACAGUGGGAAGCGCGCAAGGUGCGGUCAGGGCUGGCGCCAGUCGCUCGGCUUUCUACCACCAGGUGGCGCCAGAGGCACAUCGUCUUUGCUCACCCUUAGGACUCUGGUACUGUGCUGCCAGAAGUCUGAGCCUUGGGUCUUGGUUCCCUUCUCAGGACCUCGAACCUCACUCAUAUCUAGGUCCAGAGGAAAAUCCACAUUUACACACUCCCGCCACCCUGUCCCCAGGAAAUGUCAAGGUCUUUGAAGUGAGUCUGGGAGCUAAAUCACCAAGU
Molecule: long non-coding RNA, 4453 nt
Organism: Hipposideros armiger (great roundleaf bat)
Lineage: Eukaryota; Metazoa; Chordata; Mammalia; Chiroptera; Hipposideridae
Exons: 3
Source: RefSeq, a predicted model, not a curated record